CCAUGUUGUUUUAACUCCCUAUUAAAUCAUUUUAUUUUAAAUACACAAACAGAAAUGAAGUUGAAAAUAGCACAGGAGCCCACUAUCACUGUGUGAACAUUUUGUGAAUGAAGACAUGUAUGAAAGGAUGUUUGGAGGCUUCAAGAAACGAAAGCCGAGAGUCUAGCUAGACCAGAGCCAUCCAGCCCAGGAGCGAUGGCCACGUGUGGCCGCUGGACACGAGAGACGUGGCCAGUCCAAACUGUGCAGUGCGGGGCAGUGGAAGCCGUUGGAGGGCCUCAGGCAGGAACACAAGGUGUCGUGGCAGAAAGGAAGAAGGGGCCGGGCACGGUGGCCCACACCCGUCAUCCCAGCACUUUGGGAGGGAGGCCAAGGCAGGAGGAUCGCUUCAAUCCAGGAGUUCAAGAUCAGCCUGGGCAACACAGCAAGACCCCGUCUCUACUAAAACCCUAAAACUUAGCCAGGCUUGGUGGCAUGUGCCUAAGGUCCCAGGUCCUCGGGAG
This 503-nucleotide long non-coding RNA is filed under the name Homo sapiens (human). RNAcentral describes it as "non-protein coding lnc-DNAAF5-3:24". Lineage: Eukaryota; Metazoa; Chordata; Mammalia; Primates; Hominidae. The record is from RNAcentral.